Mycena latifolia is the source of this 95-nucleotide non-coding RNA. NCBI's taxonomy places the organism in Eukaryota, Fungi, Basidiomycota, Agaricomycetes, Agaricales, Mycenaceae. The record is from the annotation of a GenBank genome assembly.
CACCCGGUAGCACAUGGUGUGCAUCUGCCGUCUUUAAUGAAGUAACGAACUCAGAAGUCUGCAGAAGGUCCCCCGUUCAAUCCGGGGCCGGGUGA